CCUACGGGAGGCUGCAGUGGGGAAUAUUGCACAAUGGGGGAAACCCUGAUGCAGCGACGCCGCGUGAGUGAAGAAGUCCUUCGUUACGUAAAGCUCUAUCAGCAGGGAAGAAAAUGACGGUACCUGAGUAAGAAGCCUCGGCUAACUACGUUCCAGCCGCCGCGGUACUACGUAGGGGGCAAGCGUUAUCCGGAUUUACUGGGUGUAAAGGGAGCGUAGACGGUGCGCCAAGUCUGGAGUGAAAUGCCGCAGCUUAACUGCGGAACUGCUUUGGAAACUGGCGAACUGGAGUGCGGGAGGGGUAAGCGGAAUUCCUAGUGUAGCGGUGAAAUGCGUAGAUAUUAGGAGGAACACCGGUGGCGAAGGCGGCUUACUGGACCGUAACUGACGUUGAGGCUCGAAAGCGUGGGGAGCAAACAGGAUUAGAUACCCUGGUAGUC
RNAcentral lists this ribosomal RNA (440 nucleotides) under uncultured bacterium. RNAcentral describes it as "partial 16S ribosomal RNA". It matches the Rfam family "Bacterial small subunit ribosomal RNA", at positions 338 to 795 of the family's 1533-position model. The record is from RNAcentral.